RNAcentral lists this long non-coding RNA (856 nucleotides) under Numida meleagris (helmeted guineafowl). RNAcentral's name for it is "lncRNA (ENSNMEG00000001910.1)". The record is from RNAcentral. Lineage: Eukaryota; Metazoa; Chordata; Aves; Galliformes; Numididae.
GGAUCCAUCCAUUCCCAGUUUUGUGUCCGUAUGGGGACGUCCACCCACUGGGAUCCAUCCGUUCCCAUUUCCGGGUCUGUUUAUGGACACUGAUCCACUGGGAUCCAUCCGUUCCCAUUUUCAGGUCCAUAUGGGGACAUUGAUUCAAUGGGAUCCAUCUGUUCCUAUUUCUGGGUCCAUAUGGGGACGUUCACCCAUUGGGAACCAUACAUCCCCAUUUCCGGGUCUGUUUAUGGACAUUGAUCCAUUGGGAUCCAUCUGUUCCCAUUUCCGGGUCUGUUUAUGGCCAUUGAUCCAUUGGGAUCCAUCCGUUCCCAUUUCCAUCUGUCUGGGGACGCGGAUCCAUUGGGAUCCAUGGGUUCCUCCCUUCGUGUCCCUUUGGGGACAUCCACCCACUGGGACGCGUCUGUCCCAGCCCCAGUCCCACUGGGGGACGCUGAUGGUGGGGAUCCAUCCAUUCCCACUGCCAGUCCCACUCCGAUCCCAUUGGGAUCCACCCCAACACUUCCAUAUCCAUUGGGAUCGCUCCAAUUCCAUUGGGAUCCAUCCCAACGCCUCCAUGUCCAUUUGGGAUCGCUCCAAUCCCAUCGGGAUCCAUCCCAACACCUCUGUGUCCAUUUGGGAUUGCUCCAAUCCCAUUGGGAUCCAUUCCAACACCUCCGUGUCCAUUUGGGAUCCCUCCAAUCCCAUUGGGAUCCCUCUGAUCCCAUUACUCUGAUCCCAUUGGGUUCACUCCAAUCCCAUUAGGGUCCCUCCGAUCCCAUUACUCCGAUCCCAUUACUCUGAUCCCAUUGGGUUCACUCCAAUCCCAUUGGGUUCACUCCAAUCCCAUUGGGUUCACUCCAAUCCCAUUAGG